Molecule: non-coding RNA, 29 nt
Filed under: Homo sapiens (human)
Lineage: Eukaryota; Metazoa; Chordata; Mammalia; Primates; Hominidae
Source: RNAcentral
UNUUGGUGACCAGACCUAGGUUUAGUGUA